AUGGGGCCGCCCUGGCUGGUCGCGGAUCGAUCUUCGAGGUGCCGCAGCGGUCGCUGGCUUUGCCACCUGCGGCGUCCCGGAGUCGCGCGCACAGUCCGUGAGGGGGCUGCGCGGAGUUGACGCCGAGUCGUCCCCUCAGGCAGUGGCCGCACCCGGGGACCUGCGUCUCGGGUCCGGGGCUGCGCCUCUCGCCGGCUUUUCCCUCACGGCACUCGGCUGGGGCUCCGAGGACCCAGUCGUAGGUGACCUUUGGGCUCCCUGCGGGAUCUGGGAAGACGUUGGCGUGUGUGGAGAAUGAUGCCUGAGCGGGAGAGUCUGAUUUCAGCCAGCGAAGAGCCUAGCCGGGAGUGAGGAUAUGAUUCCUACUCUAGGGUGAACACAGCAACAAGGUGCCAUCUUACCAGAGAGUAGCCCUUACCAGAGGCUGACUGACCUGCUGGUGCCUUGACCUUGGACUUCCUACC
Long non-coding RNA from Dipodomys spectabilis (banner-tailed kangaroo rat), 464 nucleotides. RefSeq lists it as uncharacterized. The transcript is spliced from 3 exons. The record is from RefSeq and is a predicted model, not a curated record. NCBI's taxonomy places the organism in Eukaryota, Metazoa, Chordata, Mammalia, Rodentia, Heteromyidae.